RNAcentral lists this ribosomal RNA (680 nucleotides) under Ancylobacter sp. F921. RNAcentral's name for it is "bacterial SSU rRNA". It matches the Rfam family "Bacterial small subunit ribosomal RNA", at positions 44 to 772 of the family's 1533-position model. Lineage: Bacteria; Pseudomonadati; Pseudomonadota; Alphaproteobacteria; Hyphomicrobiales; Xanthobacteraceae. The record is from RNAcentral.
AGUCUUAACACAUGCAAGUCGAACGCCCCGCAAGGGGAGUGGCAGACGGGUGAGUAACACGUGGGGAUCUGCCCAAUGGUACGGAAUAAUUCCGGGAAACUGGGACUAAUACCGUAUGAGCCCGCAAGGGGAAAGAUUUAUCGCCAUUGGAUGAACCCGCGUCGGAUUAGCUAGUUGGUGUGGUAAAGGCGCACCAAGGCGACGAUCCGUAGCUGGUCUGAGAGGAUGAUCAGCCACACUGGGACUGAGACACGGCCCAGACUCCUACGGGAGGCAGCAGUGGGGAAUAUUGGACAAUGGGCGCAAGCCUGAUCCAGCCAUGCCGCGUGAGUGAUGAAGGCCUUAGGGUUGUAAAGCUCUUUCGCCGACGAAGAUAAUGACGGUAGUCGGAGAAGAAGCCCCGGCUAACUUCGUGCCAGCAGCCGCGGUAAUACGAAGGGGGCUAGCGUUGUUCGGAAUCACUGGGCGUAAAGCGCACGUAGGCGGAUAUUUAAGUCAGGGGUGAAAGCCUGGAGCUCAACUCCAGAACUGCCCUUGAUACUGGGUAUCUCGAGUCCGGAAGAGGUAAGUGGAACUGCGAGUGUAGAGGUGAAAUUCGUAGAUAUUCGCAAGAACACCAGUGGCGAAGGCGGCUUACUGGUCCGGUACUGACGCUGAGGUGCGAAAGCGUGGGGAGCAAA